RNAcentral lists this ribosomal RNA (483 nucleotides) under uncultured bacterium. Its description in RNAcentral is "partial 16S ribosomal RNA". It matches the Rfam family "Bacterial small subunit ribosomal RNA", at positions 30 to 507 of the family's 1533-position model. The record is from RNAcentral.
AUUGAACGCUGGCGGAAUGCUUUACACAUGCAAGUCGAGCGGCAGCACGGGGCAACCCUGGUGGCGAGCGGCGAACGGGUGAGUAAUACAUCGGAACAUGCCCAGUCGUGGGGGAUAACACUUCGAAAGAAGUGCUAAUACCGCAUACGUCCUGAGGGAGAAAGCGGGGGAUCGCAAGACCUCGCGCGAUUGGAGUGGCCGAUGUCAGAUUAGCUAGUUGGUGGGGUAAAGGCCUACCAAGGCAACGAUCUGUAGCUGGUCUGAGAGGAUGAUCAGCCACACUGGGACUGAGACACGGCCCAGACUCCUACGGGAGGCAGCAGUGGGGAAUUUUGGACAAUGGGGGCAACCCUGAUCCAGCCAUUCCGCGUGAGUGAAGAAGGCCUUCGGGUUGUAAAGCUCUUUCGGCAGGAACGAAACGGCGAGCUCUAACAUAGCUUGCUAAUGACGGUACCUGAAGAAGAAGCACCGGCUAACUACGUG